GGAUUAGUACGUUGGUCGUGCCUUCGGUACGUACUGGUGUUACUGAUUCCUACCUUCUGACGAACCAUCAUGUCAUUAAUUUGGUGUGGCGGGGAAUCAGGACUGUUACUUUGAAAAAAUUAGAGUGUUUAAAGCAGGCUCGCGCUUGAAUACAUUAGCAUGGAAUAAUGAAAUAGGACGUUGACCCUAUUUUGUUGGUUUCUAGGAUUGACGUAAUGAUUAAUAGGGAUAGUUGGGGGCAUUAGUAUUCAAUUGUCAGAGGUGAAAUUCUUGGAUUUAUUGAAGACUAACUACUGCGAAAGCAUUUGCCAAGGAUGUUUUCAUUAAUCAAGAACGAAAGUUAGGGGAUCGAAGACGAUCAGAUACCGUCGUAGUCUUAACCAUAAACUAUGCCGACUAGGGAUCGGAUGAUGUUAUUUUUAAUGACUCAUUCGGCGCCUUACGGGAAACCAAAGUGUUUGGGUUCCGGGGGGAGUAUGGUCGCAAGGCUGAAACUUAAAGGAAUUGACGGAAGGGCACCACCAGGGGUGGAGCCUGCGGCUUAAUUUGACUCAACACGGGGAAACUCACCAGGUCCAGACAUAGUUAGGAUUGACAGAUUGAGAGC
RNAcentral lists this ribosomal RNA (607 nucleotides) under Glomus sp. MS. Its description in RNAcentral is "SSU rRNA". It matches the Rfam family "Eukaryotic small subunit ribosomal RNA", at positions 644 to 1255 of the family's 1831-position model. Lineage: Eukaryota; Fungi; Glomeromycota; Glomeromycetes; Glomerales; Glomeraceae. The record is from RNAcentral.